ACUAGGUUAGGCCCCGCGCUCCACCAAUUUAUUCUGCACUCCCGGGGAGGAGGGGAGGCCCGGGACGGAGCGGCGGGGAGGGAAAUCGAAAUGCGGGCAGAAGGAGUCGGGGAGCACCUCCCUGGUCUUCCCCGCCUCCCCCGCUCAUCCACCGUCUUCCUGGAAGCGUGGGCGGAGGCGGCCUCGCGACUUAGUUAAGAAUUUUGGGUUCCUUCUUAUCUUGCCUCCUCGCCCUUCCCUCAAGAUGUUUGAAAUGCGAAGAGAUCCCCUUAUCGCUCCUCCGACCCAGUUAACUCGAAGGCUCUAUCACCCUGUUGUAUUUGUUUUUUGUCUUGCAUCCAGCGUCCGGGACCUCCGACCGCCGCGAGCUCUCUGGAGACACAGCCUUCACUGAAUGGCCAGAUCUCCAUGGAAGCAAAAUUGAAACUUGGUAUGACUAUUUGGACAUUUCAAGGAAAGAAAGUACCUUCUGCUUAAAUCAUUUGAGAAAUAGUAGCCAAAAUAACUCAUUCACAUCAGUAGCUAAUUCUUCCAUCACUUAAUGCUGGCACUGAUCCUAGUUAUUUGUAUUAAGUAGCUCACCACGUCAUAGGAUUUGUUUACAUAGACAGAUGACAGGUUUGCCUUAGUGUUAAGUGCCAACAUUUAAUAAACAACAACAACAAAAGACUUUUCCUGACACAGGCAGACCUAUCUACUCAAACUUCUGGAUUACUUUAAAGGUGCUAUUGUGAGGCAGGAGUUUUCAGUACCUUCAGGAGACAUUUAUCAUUUCAAACCCAAACACAUUUAAUGGUUACGUUAGUCCUCAUUUUGUUUGUUGCCAUUGUAGAACUGUUGCUGGGUACUCAUUCUGAUAGAAAUAACAAUAGUUUUUGAAAGCAGAAGCAUUGUUGUUAGCAGAACAACACACGCAUAUAAACACCCCAAAUAAACAUUUUUAGCUAUUUCCUUAUAGUGCUGAAAGUUAUUUGGUUAAAUUUAGCAUUGCCCAGAACCUCCAAUAAGAUUGUCUGUGAUUGGCAUGCAUGCAAAUUUAUAAAGCCAAGGUUAUAUUAAUAACUAAAUGAAAAGACCCUGAUGCUGGGAAAGAUUGAAGGCGGGAGGAGAAGGGGACGACAGAGGAUGAGAUGGUUGGAUGGCAUCACCUACUCAAUGGACAUGAGUUUGGGUAAACUGCGGGAGUUGGUGAUGGACAGGGAGGCCUGGCGUGCUGCAGUCCAUGGGGUUGCAAAGAGUCGGACAUGACUGAGUGACUGAACUGAACUGAACAAAAAGGGACAUUAACAUUAAUAACAACAAAGAUGAUGGUAAACCAUAAUGGAAAAGAAUAUUUUAAAAAGAAUAUAUAUAUAUAUAUAUGUAUGACUGAAUCACUGCUGUAUAGAAAUAAUUAACACAACAUUGCAGAUCAACUGUACUUCAAUAAAAAAUUAAUUAAAUUAAGAACAAAUCUAAAAAAACCAACAAAGAUGACCCUUUGAAUUUAAGUACACUGUUUCUUAUUAGUAACUACCAACAUUCAGUAAAAUUUAAACUCUAGAACCACUGUCAGCAUUUGAUGUCUAUCAUUGGUAGCAAGUUUACUGUUACAUGCUGAUAAGACGUCUAAUGUUAGACUCUAGAAAUUAGUGCUAGAACUGCUUGUGGAAAGAUUAAGAGGUGUGAAGAAAGAAUGAAGGCAGAUUUGCAAAGUGAAAGAGGGCUACAGAUAGAAACUUCUGAGAAAAUACAUU
Molecule: long non-coding RNA, 1736 nt
Organism: Cervus hanglu yarkandensis (Yarkand deer)
Lineage: Eukaryota; Metazoa; Chordata; Mammalia; Artiodactyla; Cervidae
Source: Ensembl